Molecule: small RNA, 283 nt
Filed under: Marmota monax (woodchuck)
Lineage: Eukaryota; Metazoa; Chordata; Mammalia; Rodentia; Sciuridae
Source: RNAcentral
NCCGUGGCAGGCACCUGAAGUUCGAGCUACUGGGGAGGCUGAGACUGGAGGAUCACUUGAGCCCUGGAAUCCAAAACCAGCCCGGACAACACAGCAAGUCUCUGUCUCAAAACUGGGGUGGGGGGCUGGGGGUGCUUUUGCUGGGAGGAGCAUCGUGAGUGCAGAUGGGGAGCAUGUUUGGCAACUGCACCCCCAGCCCCCCACCCCAGUUUUGAGACAGAGACUUGCUGUGUUGUCCGGGCUGGUUUUGGAUUCCAGGGCUCAAGUGAUCCUCCAGUCUCAG